Molecule: non-coding RNA, 27 nt
Filed under: Mus musculus (house mouse)
Lineage: Eukaryota; Metazoa; Chordata; Mammalia; Rodentia; Muridae
Source: RNAcentral
UCCAUUCUCCACAGGACCAGAUCUCAG